ACGGGAGGCAGCAGUGGGGAAUAUUGCACAAUGGGGGAAACCCUGAUGCAGCAACGCCGCGUGAGUGAUGAAGUAUUUCGGUAUGUAAAGCUCUAUCAAUGGGGAAGAAAAUGACGGUACCCAUAUAAGAAGCCCCGGCUAACUACGUGCCAGCAGCCGCGGUAAUACGUAGGGGGCAAGCGUUAUCCGGAUUUACUGGGUGUAAAGGGAGUGCAGGCGGUCUGCCAAGUCAGAAGUGAAACCCCGCGGCUUAACUGCGGGCUUGCUUUUGAAACUGCCAGACUGGAGUGCAGGAGGGGCAAGCGGAAUUCCUAGUGUAGCGGUGAAAUGCGUAGAUAUUAGGAGGAACACCGGUGGCGAAGGCGGCUUGCUGGACUGUAACUGACGCUGAGACUCGAAAGCGUGGGGAGCAAACAGGAUUAGAUACCCUGGUA
Molecule: ribosomal RNA, 434 nt
Filed under: uncultured Lachnospiraceae bacterium
Lineage: Bacteria; Bacillati; Bacillota; Clostridia; Lachnospirales; Lachnospiraceae
Description: bacterial SSU rRNA
Rfam family: Bacterial small subunit ribosomal RNA
Source: RNAcentral